Molecule: RNase P RNA, 320 nt
Filed under: Candidatus Ornithomonoglobus intestinigallinarum
Lineage: Bacteria; Bacillati; Bacillota; Clostridia
Description: Bacterial RNase P class A
Rfam family: Bacterial RNase P class A
About the family: Ribonuclease P (RNase P) is a ubiquitous endoribonuclease, found in archaea, bacteria and eukarya as well as chloroplasts and mitochondria.
Source: RNAcentral
AGUAAGUCAGACGGUCGCGCCCUGUUGGGUGAGGAAAGUCCGGGCUCCGCAGAGCAAGGAUGCCGGCUAACGGCCGGUGAAGGCGACUUCAAGGACAGUGCAACAGAAAAUAAAUGCCGCAGAAAUGCGGCGAUUGUGGAAAUGUGAGGUAAGAGCUCACAGGGAUGAUGGCGACUGAAUUCCCGUGUAAACCCCAUCCGGAGCAACUUUGGGGACGUUACGCCUGCUCGGCAGUCCCCUUGAAAGGCUUGAGCCCGCCGGUAACGGCGGGACCAGAUAGAUGACCGUCAAAUACAGAACCCGGCUUACAGACUUGCUCA